Molecule: long non-coding RNA, 911 nt
Filed under: Linum usitatissimum (flax)
Lineage: Eukaryota; Viridiplantae; Streptophyta; Magnoliopsida; Malpighiales; Linaceae
Description: long non-coding RNA (LUSI_LNC002455)
Source: RNAcentral
ACAGAGACCAUCGGAGUUUCGCUCUCGAAGAGCAAAUCAUCCUCUUCAGAAGAGCCUGAGAAGCAAGAAGACUGCUGUUCGUGCCAUAUCGUGUAGAGAUCCUUGGUGAGCUUCUCGACCGAGGAAUGUUUCGGACGGUUCACACAGGUUCUCUUUCGAGACGGCACAGUCGAGUCCCAGACCACUGUUUGACCAGAGCCUGCACCACAAACCACAGUCAGUGUUAAGAUUUUUACUUAGUCUACAUCACAAAACGUUAGGCAUUCUCUUCAUUUCUGCCUUAGUUAUUAACAAUGCAGCUACUUAAGUCUAUGUUUGGAUGCUAUAUGUCACAUUGAAUUGAAACGAAGAUUCGGAUAUGAUAUCGAUAAAGACGUUAUGAGAUAUGAUAAAAACCGUCGUGAAAACUUACAUUCAGAUCAAUGCUACACAGAGGCGACUUACGACUGCCGAGAAUCUGCACCUUCUCGUCUCUGAAAUAAAAAAAACUCGAGCAAGUCAGUCCAUUUUCCGCAAAAGCAAGUACCGAUCGCUACAUCGCUCUAUUCAAAGCACGAACCGGAUAAGCUGCUGAUGAUGCUGCAUUCCUUGACCAGGACGGUUGACUGAACGGGAGUAAGCUUCAUUAACCGAAAGGGAACUAGCUUCGGACUCCUCAUCUCGAGCUAUGGUACUAGGAUGCCUGAUGAGGACACUUCCAUGUCCUAUCUCGACAGAGACCAUCGGAGUUUCGCUCUCGAAGAGCAAAUCAUCCUCUUCAGAAGAGCCUGAGAAGCAAGAAGACUGCUGUUCGUGCCAUAUCGUGUAGAGAUCCUUGGUGAGCUUCUCGACCGAGGAAUGUUUCGGACGGUUCACACAGGUUCUCUUUCGAGACGGCACAGUCGAGUCCCAGACCACUGUUUGACCAGAGC